AACGAACGCUGGCGGCAGGCCUAACACAUGCAAGUCGAGCGAUGAAGUUUCUUCGGAAAUGAAUUAGCGGCGGACGGGUUAGUAACGCGUGGGAAUAUGCCCAAAGGUACGGAACAACAGUUAGAAAUGACUGCUAAUACCGUAUGUGCCCUUCGGGGGAAAGAUUUAUCGCCUUUGGAUUGGCCCGCGUUGGAUUAGGUAGUUGGUGUGGUCAAAGCGCACCAAGCCGACGAUCCAUAGCUGGUUUGAGAGGAUGAUCAGCAACACUGGGACUGAGACACGGCCCAG
This 288-nucleotide ribosomal RNA is filed under the name uncultured Pseudoruegeria sp. RNAcentral's name for it is "partial 16S ribosomal RNA". It matches the Rfam family "Bacterial small subunit ribosomal RNA", at positions 29 to 334 of the family's 1533-position model. The record is from RNAcentral. Lineage: Bacteria; Pseudomonadati; Pseudomonadota; Alphaproteobacteria; Rhodobacterales; Roseobacteraceae.